Anas platyrhynchos (mallard) is the source of this 5061-nucleotide non-coding RNA. The record is from RefSeq and is a predicted model, not a curated record. Lineage: Eukaryota; Metazoa; Chordata; Aves; Anseriformes; Anatidae.
CCCGACCUGGUGUCCCGAAGUGCCUGAUAGUGGCACGCUAAGGCAAAAGCUGUGUCAGCAGCAUAACUCGUAUUUUUCAUGCAGAUCCUAGAUCCAAGGGAAUAUUUCAGCUGAAGGUUGGAUUAGUCUGCGGCAGUCUGGUCUGCGUGUCUCUGAAGAACACCAUUUAGCAUUACCAGGCAAUCUCUUUGUCGCUGACUCUUCCCUGCAUGUACGGUGCUAAUUGCCAAGGCAUCUCCUAAAAGCUAUUUUCAUAUGCAUUUGCACAACAGAUUUGAAAGGCCAUGAGGAUGUACUUAGCGCUGCUGUAAAUGGGAAAUGUUGCCCCAUGUUUCACAAUAAUGACAUUCUGGAACCUGCCAAAUGCAUAGUUUUAUCACUUAUAAUUCAGAUGAUCUGCGGACCAGUAUUCUUGGCUGUAAUGGAUUAUCACUUCAUCAUGCAAGCACAUCACAGCCUGUAGUGAGAGCCUGCUGGUGGGGAAACCACAGACUGAAAUCGAUGGAUUUCUUCACUGGCCUCUACGUUAUCUCCCUGUCUCACUGAGCUGCUGUCGUCUAGAAAAGGCACCAAAUUAACAUGCAGGUCAAGCAUCGAGGGGCGAUUUUUCUUUACGGCUUCUGUAUGGGCACGGGAAUAUGGAUGUGGCUGUAGCAGCAACCGAAGCUGUGUCUGGGCUGUGCCCUCUUCAGGGGAGCUCACACACCGGAGCUUUCCCCAUCACCUGCAGACGCGUGUGAAUGUGGAAUCAAAGGACGGGGUGAAGGUGGCAAGGACAGAUGUUUCAUUUUUCAGGCUUUGGUUGCCUGAGGUUUUACAGGGUUUUGUUUGAUGAAAUAAAAUGGAGAGGCAGCAUGCUCUGAUCACGGUCCUGGUGCUUCCAAAUUAGAUGGGGGUUCAUGUGCAUGGUUCUGCCCAGGGCUUCUCAAAGCCCUGCAUUUGCUUACAUUUUGCAGAUAGUCUUAACCUGGCUAUAUCUAAGGACCUUUUGCCCUGCUGUCAAGCACCAAAGAGAGCUCCCUGCAGAGUGUGGCAGGAGUUUGGGGCUGUCACAGUCUAGGUCCAUAACCCAGAGAACCGCUGGCUUUCCUUGCACGUCAUUCAUCUCAGUUCAUCAGGUUCCACCCGAGGCUUAGCAAAGCAUCUCGCCUGUCACACAGAGGUGAGAGCAAGCCCAGCCCCAGGGAGGGGGUGGAUUUACAGCUACCUGUUGGGUUCAGGUGAAAUGUGACAAUUGCUGCUAAGCCCCUUGCGUAGAGCCAAACAAGGCACGGGGGCUUGGACCUGCCCCCAUGCUUUGUGGGUCCAGGGUCCCCCGAACUGGUAGAUUUAAUGGUGAGACUUGAAAAUAAUUAGAUGAGUUUUUAGGUCCUAAAGGUAAUUGGGAAAGCUUUAUUCUAGAAAUAAACAGAGACUGGGGGAAGGUACUGCUCCCUGAUGUGACCUGUGCCCACUGCCUGCGCAGGGGAUCAGACAGGAAUUUUUUUUCCUCUCUCGGGUGAUUUGCAGGUAACAAAAUGCCCGGCUCCUCACUGCAGCCAGCCUGGGGUCUCUGCCUCACCGAACCCCACGCUUGGCCAACAGCCUCGUGGGGAACCUGGCCUCAGGCAUCCCGCUGGGUGCCUCGGCUGCCCCGCACAGAGAGCGGUGCCGCAGUCUGGGAGGGGAUUUAUAACGCUGGGUGACUUCUGUGGCAGUAACCAGUAACUGGCCUACAUCUUGGUCUUGCAAGUGCGUAUUUCUGUAAGUGUGGGAGCAAGCAUUCUGCCUCUUGCUCAGCUGAGGGAUAAUUCUCCUGCUGCUGAACAAUGCGCUGCAGGGAGCCGCUGCUCCUCUCAUCCGCCCCACUUGAAAGGCCUCGCUCAGGAGCGAGGUAUUGCUUGGGAAGUUACAAAGGUCCCCAGAGCCCUGGGCAACCCCAUUCAGCUAAUAUCUCAACUUCUGACAACCAAUAUCCACUGUCCUGCCCCAAAACUAAUUAAUUUUAUACAUGAGUGAAUUUAACACCAUCAUUUAGCUCUGUCUGCUAGAGGAGACUUUGAAGUACAAACUGAUUAUGCAGGGAACAAGCGGGGAGCUGGUUAAUAAGUUCCAACAAAGUGUAUGCUUCUGGGAGGCCGUGUUAGAUUAAACGUGGGAUUUUAUUGUUGUUUUGUCUUGGACUUCAGCUUAAAAACAAGGCGGUGGCAGCGUUUAUCACCGCAGAGAGAAACCCAGUGACAGCACUGGGAAAUGUGUAAAAGCUACAAAAGUGUUAAUGAUCAGAACCCAGCUCUGCCUCCUCUGAAAAUCUCAUUCCUCACCUCAUUUGUUUAGCUGUUUCACUUCAGGCAGACUGGUUGUUAACGGGGGAAAACAAAGUGAAUGAGCUCCACAAUCCUGCUUGUUGUGAAUGCCGUUUGUUGGAUGUUCUUAAAUCCCAACACCCAUCUCUACUGCUGCUAAAGGCCUUCCCUCUGGGUGACACCUCAGUAGCUGUUUUCUCUUUUUUUUCCCUGGCAGUCUCGAGUGGGUGAGGAGGUAUUUAAUUGGAUUUAAAUGGCACUCCAUUACCCACUAGUCACUUGAUAACACUUCUGAGGGAAAACAGAGCAGGAAAUAUGCACUGAACUUCAGCACAGGUUCCCGGAGAAAGGGGUUGCCAAAGGGCAGCCAAGUCGCAGUGAUCAUAUUCUCCUGGGAUGACCUUGGUUUGGGCAGUGGUAAUGGCAGUUACGGGAUCUGAAGCUGGUUGUGGCUGUGGAAAAUCUGCCCCUCACCAAAAGGCAAAACACAGCUGCAAAAAGGUUUGUAAAGUCAAAUUAAAACUAACCAGAGGAAAAUGUCAGCAAAGGCAUCAAAUGAACCAUUUCUGAGACUUUACUGACUUUAUUCUUCCCCUCAUUUCUUACUUUGCUAAUGGAGAAAGACAUCAGAAGAAGAAAGGGAAAGAUGCAGAUCGUGAAUUAGACUGCCUGCCUAAAGCAGACUGCUGGUUUUCUCGAAAGCUCUGCUCUCCCCUCCAUCCUUCCUGGCAUGGUCAGAUACUGGAUCUGUGUUUUGUGCACAAAUGCCAUUGAAGUAUGCCUGCCUGAUCAGUCCAUAUCUCUGCCUCAUCUCAUAGUAAAAACAGUGGCUAAUGGCAGAAAAACACCCACUUGAACGCAGUCGGUACAGCAGCCUUCUAUCCAGGGCUUGGCUGCCUUCACGGGGCCAGAAUGAAAGCAAAGUGAAUGGAAACCGAUCCUAGUGCCAUUCAGCCACCAGUGGGAUGAGCAGAGAUUUCAAGCCAAGAUCUCUUCCCCAGCAUAAUGCAGUGUAGAAGGUGGCAGAGGAAAACAAUCCAACAGACGAGGAGCAUAAAGCAGAUCAGAAAGCCUCUCCUGCGCGGCUGUGGGGUGUCGUUGUGCAGGGGCAGAGCACGAGGCUGUGCAGCAGCUGGACGGGACGUCCUGUCCUUCCCUUCGGUCUGCCCCUGGCUGCAGGUUUACUGCCUGUCCUCUGCUCUACUGCGAGCCAGCGUUAUCAGAUGUGACUCAGAGAGGCUGCUUUGGGAAGCGGGCAGUGCUGGCGGCGUGUCGCAAGGGCCACAGCCUGUGCUUUCCAGUGUGGCACUGUCCUCUAGUGGAAAAGGGCUCUGUGCUGUGCUGUCCAUGCAGCUGCAGCUCCGGGGCACUUUUUGGGGGCCGGUCAUGGGAAUCAGGCACGGUGAGGCUCCAGGAGGCCACCGAGGCAGGCACAGUGUGGCUCCAAGGGUUUUGUGCUGCAGCGCCGUGGCAGCUACUUGGGCUGCUGCGGCCCCCAGAAAGCUUCUGAUGCAGCUUGUGGCUCCAGGAGGUCUCAGCAAUAAGGAACAGUAAUAUUCAAACCUUGAGCUUCUUGGGCCCAGUCCUAGGAGAGGUGACCCAUCUGUCAUCGGGUUUGAAGUGGAUGAACUGCAUUCCAGGCUAAGAAGAGAGUGCCUUUCAAGUUGAGCCUCCCUCAAUAAUCAACGUAUCGGUUUGUACUGAUAGAGAUCACAUACUGAAUUUCAUUACAGGGUGAUGCUUACCGUGGUCCUUGCAGCAUGCUGUCUACUUGGCAGCUGCUUUGCAUCCUGGAGUUGGCUGCAGUUCAGUGGUAAAGGAAUUCUUAACUGUUUGUCAUUGUAAAGCACUUUGGGAUGAAUGGUGUUACAUAAAUGUAAGAUUAUGAUUAGGCAUUAAUCUGCACCGAAAUAAUGAAGAAUAUUUAAAUGUGCUUUUUCUUCCAGUAAGUCUUAUUUAAUAUGAAGGGGAAUCAAUUUAUCACUGUCUUGCUAUGACUUUCUCCUACCCCUCCAGCUAGAAUUGCAAAUUGUGAAUUGCAGAGAAGAAGAUGGGUGGCUGUCAAUGGCAGCAUAAUUGCAAAUGGCCCCGUGAUCCAAACUGGAGCUAUUUAUCCUCAGCGACUUUUGGAGUUCUACUUUCAAAUGUUUUCAUCCAAACAAGCCAGUGACCCUGAACCUACACGGCAGUAUUACACAACAUCUCAUAGCUGCAGAGCUGCUGUGCACGGCCUGGUACAUGGUGUGACAGAUGAGAGCCCAGUGGCAGAGGUAAUGCUAUGGGCAUUAAGGCUGACUGCAUUGAUUUUAACUGAGCUGUGAGUGCCAGGAGACUCUGAAGGUCUUGCGGUAGCUCUGACUUUGAGUUUAAAAUUUAAGAGAUGUUGCCUGCAUUUACACUUCUGAAUAAAUCCAGAUCUGAUUAGAGACGCUAAAGUUCUUACAAUUACUUGCUGUGUGUACCUUAAUGAGCAGAAGAGAAAAGCCUUAGGACUGGGUUCUUGUUUUUCAGCUUUGUGCUCCACUUUUGACUCCAUUGGCAGUGCAGCAGAGCUCACAUAAACUUUUAUUGUAAAACCCUUAGCAAGGACAACAGCUACCCAGCUCUGUGUGACUGACCAGGGAUCCAGCAAGAAGCUGAGCCCUGCUGAUCCAUUCAUUCCGGAAGCUGCCUUAAUGUUCAGCACAAUUAUACCACGUGCCUCACACCCGUAUCCUUCCAAGUGAUUCAUGAGAUUCCAGGGCUUUGCUGUAACAUACAUCUCUCGUAUGUCAAU